RNAcentral lists this unclassified non-coding RNA (1264 nucleotides) under Hevea brasiliensis (rubber tree). The record is from RNAcentral. Lineage: Eukaryota; Viridiplantae; Streptophyta; Magnoliopsida; Malpighiales; Euphorbiaceae.
AAAAAAAAAAAAAUAAAUUAAAUAAAAAAGAUGAGAAAAAAAAAGAUGAUAAAGAAAAUAGAAAAGAAAAAAAUGAUGAAAAAGAAAAUAUAUAAGAAAGAAAAAGAUGAUGAAGAAAAAAAUAGAUGAGAAAGAAAAAUAUGAUAUAAAAUAGAUUAGAAAGGAAAAAAUGAUGAAUAAAAUAAAUGAGAAUGAAAAGAUGAUUAAGAAAAUGAGGGGAAAAAAGAAUAAAGAGGGGAAAAAAGAAAAUGAGUAGUGGGGAAAAAAAAAGAGUAAUGGAGAAAGAAAAUGAGUACUAAUUUACCUAAGUGAAUUAAUAACUAAUUUUGGCAACUAAUUAUUGGUUAUUCAUUUCUUUUAAAAAUUGGGUUGAAAUUUUUGGAGGAAAAUUUUACAACUGAUUCGUAAUCAAUUGCUCUAUAAAUCACUUGCAAAUAAAAAAACAAAAAAAAUGAGACGAAAUUUCUAGGGGAAGAAUUUUGCAAUUAGUUAUAAAAUCGGUUAUUAAUACCAACCGAUAUCAAUCUAUUGCAAAAAUUAGUUGUUACUAAGAAUCGAUUCGCAAAUCAGUUACAAAUAAGAGAAAAAAAAGCAAAAAUUUAGUAAGAAUUCUUGGGGGCAAUUUUACAACCGAUUAAUAGAUUACAGUUAUAAUCGAUUUGCAAAUCAGUUGCAAAUAAAAAAAAAAGGGCUAAAUUUUUUUGGGGGGAGAGGAAAUUUUACAACCGAUUUAUAAUUAAUUAUAAAAAUCGAUUGCUAUUAGCAACUAAUUUAAAUUAGUUGUAAAAUUUGAUUGCUAAUAGCAACUAACAAAGAAUUGAUUGCAAUUUUGGAGCCUUUUAAAAAGGCUCUAAAUUUAGCAAUCGAUUUUGUUAAUAACAGCAAUCGAUUUUAAAGUUAAUUGCUAAUUUUAUAUUUUGAUUUUUCUAAUAUUAAUAAAGCAACCGAUAUAGUAACCGAUUCUUGAAUUGAUUGCUAAAUUUUUAAAAAUUAACUAUUUUACUAAAAAAAAAAUCUAAAAUUACAAAUCAAUUAUAAAAUUGAUUGCUAUCAAUUACAAAAAUCAGUUGCAAAACUAAUUGUUCUUUUAUAGUGGGAGAAAAAUGACCCUUUUAACUUGCAAAUUAAAUAUUAUACGUAAAAUAGAUUUUUCUAGUAACAAAAUUCAAAAUUUGAGAUUUUUUUGAAAGAAAAUAAUAUUGAAGGGUUGAAAUAAAUGAUGAAUAAAAAUUAGACAUCAAAUGUGAAUUGGAAAAGAAUUGAA